AACGAACGCUGGCGGCAUGCCUAACACAUGCAAGUCGAACGAGACCUUCGGGUCUAGUGGCGCACGGGUGCGUAACGCGUGGGAACCUGCCCUUAGGUUCGGAAUAACUCCCCGAAAGGGGUGCUAAUACCGGAUAAUGUCUUCGGACCAAAGAUUUAUCGCCUUUGGAUGGGCCCGCGUUGGAUUAGCUAGUUGGUAGGGUAAAAGCCUACCAAGGCGACGAUCCAUAGCUGGUCUGAGAGUAUGAUCAGCCACACUGGGACUGAGACACGGCCCAGACUCCUACGGGAGGCAGCAGUGGGGAAUAUUGGACAAUGGGCGAAAGCCUGAUCCAGCAAUGCCGCGUGAGUGAUGAAGGCCUUAGGGUUGUAAAGCUCUUUUACCCGGGAUGAUAAUGACAGUACCGGGAGAAUAAGCUCCGGCUAACUCCGUG
RNAcentral lists this ribosomal RNA (433 nucleotides) under uncultured bacterium. RNAcentral's name for it is "partial 16S ribosomal RNA". It matches the Rfam family "Bacterial small subunit ribosomal RNA", at positions 29 to 507 of the family's 1533-position model. The record is from RNAcentral.